This is a long non-coding RNA of Gossypium arboreum, 335 nucleotides long. RefSeq lists it as uncharacterized. The record is from RefSeq and is a predicted model, not a curated record. The transcript has 2 exons. Lineage: Eukaryota; Viridiplantae; Streptophyta; Magnoliopsida; Malvales; Malvaceae.
UUGUCUUGACUUGGUUUUUUUGUUCCGAGGAUUGAGUGCCUUGACAUUUAGAACUAUAAUUUGAAAACAUCCCAACAAUGUUUCAGAGUAGUACAACUGCUGAGUCAUGUUUUGGUGCUGCAAUCAAGGUUCAUUGGCAUAUUGUCCUGAUGAGAGUGUAGUUUAUGAAGCUUUAAACUUUGCAUUGUCCUCCGAGGUAUUAGAAUUCCUAGUUCAAAACUUAGCAAUUUGUCUUUUUAUAAAAGACCAAAUUUCCAAUUUUCAAUGUUGUUUAGGUUCGCAAACAAGAUGAUGUAUUUGGACUUACUAUAUUUUAUUUAUAUCUUUAUAUUUAA